This 440-nucleotide ribosomal RNA is filed under the name uncultured soil bacterium. RNAcentral's name for it is "bacterial SSU rRNA". It matches the Rfam family "Bacterial small subunit ribosomal RNA", at positions 26 to 517 of the family's 1533-position model. The record is from RNAcentral.
AGAACGAACGCUGGCGGCAGGCCUAACACAUGCAAGUCGAACGCUCCGCAAGGAGAGUGGCAGACGGGUGAGUAACGCGUGGGAAUUUCCCCCAAGGUUCGGAAUAACUGAGGGAAACUUCAGCUAAUACCGAAUGGUACCGAGAGGUUAAAGAUUUAUCGCCUUGGGAUGAGCCCGCGUUGGAUUAGCUAGUUGGUGAGGUAACGGCUCACCAAGGCUUUGAUCCAUAGCUGGUCUGAGAGGACGACCAGCCACACUGGGACUGAGACACGGCCCAGACUCCUACGGGAGGCAGCAGUGGGGAAUCUUGGACAAUGGGCGCAAGCCUGAUCCAGCCAUGCCGCGUGGGCGAUGAAGGUCUUCGGAUUGUAAAGCCUUUUGGCGGGACGAUAAUGACGGUACCCGCAGAAUAAGCUCCGGCUAACUCGUGCCAGCAGCCG